GAUAGAGGNNUACCAUGGUGGUAACGGGUAACGGGGUGUUAGGGCACGACACCGGAGAGGGAGCCUGAGAAACGGCUACCACAUCCAAGGAUGGCAGCAGGCGCGCAAAUUACCCAAUCCCGACACGGGGAGGUAGUGACAAUAAAUAACAAUACGGGGUUCUUUAGGAUCUCGUAAUUGGAAUGAGUACAAUUUAAAUCUCUUAACGAGGAACAAUUGGAGGGCAAGUCUGGUGCCAGCAGCCGCGGUAAUUCCAGCUCCAAUAGCGUAUAUUAAAGUUGUUGCAGUUAAAAAGCUCGUAGUUGAAUUUCGGGGUUAGUAGGUUGGUCAUGCCUCUGGUAUGUACUGGUCUCACUGAUUCCUCCUUCCAUAUGAACCGUAAUGCCAUUAAUUUGGUGUUGCGGGGAAUUUGGACUGUUACUUUGAAAAAAUUAGAGUGUUUAAAGCAAGCUAACGCUUGAAUACAUUAGCAUGGAAUAAUGAAAUAGGACGUUCGAUCUUAUUUUGUUGGUUUCUAGGAUUGACGUAAUGAUUAAUAGGGAUAGUUGGGGGCAUUAGUAUUCAAUUGUCAGAGGUGAAAUUCUUGGAUUUAUUGAAGACUAACUACUGCGAAAGCAUUUGCCAAGGAUGUUUUCAUUAAUCAAGAACGAAAGUUAGGGGAUCGAAGACGAUCAGAUACCGUCGUAGUCUUAACCAUAAACUAUGCCGACUAGGGAUCGG
Molecule: ribosomal RNA, 720 nt
Filed under: uncultured fungus
Lineage: Eukaryota; Fungi
Description: SSU rRNA
Rfam family: Eukaryotic small subunit ribosomal RNA
Source: RNAcentral